GGGGGAGAGAGAUGUAGGGGGAUCUGAGAGAGGUAGAGGGAGAGAUAUAGGGGAGAGAGAUGUAGGGGGAUCUGAGAGAGGUAGAGGGAGAGAUGUAGGGGGAGAGAGAUGUAGGGGGGAGAGAGGUAGGGAGAGAUCUAGGGGGAGAGAGAUGUAGGGGGAGAGAGGUGGGGGAGAGAGGUAGGGGGAGAGAGGUAGGAGGAGAGAGGUAGGAGGGGAGAGAGGUAGGGGGAGAGAGGUAGGAGGAGAGAGAGGUAUGGGGAGAGAGGUGGGGGAGAGAGGUAGGGGGGAGAGAGGUGGGGGAGAGAGGUAGAGGGAGAGAGGUAGAGGGAGAGAGGUAGGGAAGAGAGGUAGGGGGGAGAGAGAGAGAUGUAGAGGGAGAGAGGUAGGAGAAGAGAGGUGGGGGAGAGAGGUAGGGGGGAGAGAGGUAGGGGGAGAGAGGUAGAGGUAGAGAGGUAGGGGAGAGAGGUGGUGGGAGAGAGAGAUGUAGAGACAGAGAUGUAGAGGGAGAGAGGUAGAGGGAGAGAGGUAGGGGGAGAGAGGUAGGGGGAGAGAGGUAGAGAGAGAGAGGUAGAGAGAGAGAGAUGGACUGGUGGUGGUGGUGAGUCAUGAUGUGUGUGUGAUAGCACCUGAUCUCGGUCUGCUCCGCUGAACACAUGCUAAUGUGGUCUACCUCUGCACAGACAAAACCUGCAGCAGCCCCUGCUAUAACCACCCUACAGCACCCCUCACAGCCUGCCACUGGCUGUCACGCCUGUCAAUCAAUCAUCCCAGCAUAUCAGUGCAUUCGUCAGGCUUGUCAACAGUAGCGGUUGCCCGCAAUGCCUCCUGCCGGUUGCUCUGCAGUUGGUCAUCUCACUGUCAGGAACUGACUUGAUGAAGUGGCCCCAUAUACUGAUCUAGGGAUAGAAUUUGGGGUGGCUAAGCUGAUCCUAGAUCAGUUCAGCCUAAGUGCUAUUUCCACACAGAAC
RNAcentral lists this long non-coding RNA (971 nucleotides) under Salmo salar (Atlantic salmon). RNAcentral describes it as "lncRNA (ENSSSAG00000103831.1)". The record is from RNAcentral. Lineage: Eukaryota; Metazoa; Chordata; Actinopteri; Salmoniformes; Salmonidae.